This 253-nucleotide ribosomal RNA is filed under the name uncultured bacterium. Its description in RNAcentral is "partial 16S ribosomal RNA". It matches the Rfam family "Bacterial small subunit ribosomal RNA", at positions 524 to 776 of the family's 1533-position model. The record is from RNAcentral.
UACGGAGGGUGCAAGCGUUGUCCGGAUUCAUUUGGCGUAAAGGGUGCGUAGGCGGCUUCCUAAGUUUGAUGUGAAAUCCUGGGGCUCAACCCUGGAACUGCAUUGAAUACUGGGAGGCUAGAGUACUGGAGAGGAAACUGGAAUUUACGGUGUAGCAGUGAAAUGCGUAGAGAUCGUAAGGAAGACCAGUGGCGAAGGCGAGUUUCUGGACAGUUACUGACGCUGAGGCACGAAGGCCAGGGGAGCAAACGGG